RNAcentral lists this ribosomal RNA (490 nucleotides) under uncultured bacterium. RNAcentral describes it as "bacterial SSU rRNA". It matches the Rfam family "Bacterial small subunit ribosomal RNA", at positions 28 to 536 of the family's 1533-position model. The record is from RNAcentral.
GACGAACGCUGGCGGCGUGCUUAACACAUGCAAGUCGAACGGAUCAUCAGGAUUUCGGUUUUGGUGGUGAGUGGCGAACGGGUGAGUAACACGUGAGUAACCUGCCCCGGACUCUGGGAUAACGACUCGAAAGGGUUGCUAAUACCGGAUAUUGAAUCUCUGUCGUGUGGUGGGGGUUUGAAAGUUUUUUCGGUUCGGGAUGGGCUCGCGGCCUAUCAGCUUGAUGGUGGGGUGAUGGCCUACCAUGGCUUCGACGGGUAGCCGGCCUGAGAGGGCGACCGGCCACACUGGGACUGAGAUACGGCCCAGACUCCUACGGGAGGCAGCAGUGGGGAAUAUUGCACAAUGGGCGAAAGCCUGAUGCAGCAACGCCGCGUGCGGGAUGAAGGCCUUCGGUUGUAACCGCUUUCACCAGGGACGAAGUUGACGGUACCUGGAGAAGAAGCACCGGCUAACUACGUGCCAGCAGCCGCGGUAAAAUAGACGUACU